This 253-nucleotide ribosomal RNA is filed under the name uncultured bacterium. Its description in RNAcentral is "partial 16S ribosomal RNA". It matches the Rfam family "Bacterial small subunit ribosomal RNA", at positions 524 to 776 of the family's 1533-position model. The record is from RNAcentral.
UACGUAGGGUGCGAGCGUUAAUCGGAAUUACUGGGCGUAAAGCGUGCGCAGGCGGUUUUGUAAGCCAGAUGUGAAAUCCCCGGGCUUAACCUGGGAAUGGCAUUUGGGACUGCAAGGCUGGAGUGCGGCAGAGGAGACUGGAAUUCCUGGUGUAGCAGUGAAAUGCGUAGAUAUCAGGAGGAACACCGAUGGCGAAGGCAGGUCUCUGGGCUGACACUGACGCUGAGGAGCGAAAGCGUGGGGAGCGAACAGG